UACGGAAGGCAGCAGUGGGGAAUAUUGCACAAUGGGCGCAAGCCUGAUGCAGCCAUGCCGCGUGUAUGAAGAAGGCCUUCGGGUUGUAAAGUACUUUCAGUCGUGAGGAAGGUGUUAAGGUUAAUAACCUUAGCAAUUGACGUUAGCGACAGAAGAAGCACCGGCUAACUCCGUGCCAGCAGCCGCGGUAAUACGGGGGUGCGAGCGUUAAUCGGAAUUACUGGGCGUAAAGGGCACGCAGGCGGUUAAUUAAGUUGGAUGUGAAAUCCCCGGGCUUAACCUGGGAAUGGCAUUCAAGCUGGUUAGCUAGAGUCUUGUAGAGAGGGGUAGAAUUCCAUGUGUAGCGGUGAAAUGCGUAGAGAUGUGGAGGAAUACCGGUGGCGAAGGCGGCCCCUGGACAAAGGACUGACGCUCAUGUGCGAAAGCGUGGGGAGCAAACAGGGAUUAGAUACC
Molecule: ribosomal RNA, 453 nt
Filed under: uncultured bacterium
Lineage: Bacteria
Description: bacterial SSU rRNA
Rfam family: Bacterial small subunit ribosomal RNA
Source: RNAcentral